Molecule: ribosomal RNA, 482 nt
Filed under: uncultured bacterium
Lineage: Bacteria
Description: partial 16S ribosomal RNA
Rfam family: Bacterial small subunit ribosomal RNA
Source: RNAcentral
AUUGAACGCUGGCGGCAUGCUUUACACAUGCAAGUCGAACGGUAACAGGCCGCAAGGUGCUGACGAGUGGCGAACGGGUGAGUAAUGCAUCGGAACGUGCCCAGUCGUGGGGGAUAACUACUCGAAAGAGUAGCUAAUACCGCAUACGAUCUAUGGAUGAAAGCGGGGGACCGUAAGGCCUCGCGCGAUUGGAGCGGCCGAUGUCAGAUUAGGUAGUUGGUGGGGUAAAGGCUCACCAAGCCAACGAUCUGUAGCUGGUCUGAGAGGACGACCAGCCACACUGGGACUGAGACACGGCCCAGACUCCUACGGGAGGCAGCAGUGGGGAAUUUUGGACAAUGGGCGCAAGCCUGAUCCAGCAAUGCCGCGUGCAGGAAGAAGGCCUUCGGGUUGUAAACUGCUUUUGUACGGAACGAAACGGCUCUGGUUAAUACCCGGGGCUAAUGACGGUACCGUAAGAAUAAGCACCGGCGAACUACGUG